UACGUAGGUGGCAAGCGUUGUCCGGAUUUACUGGGCGUAAAGGAUGCGUAGGCGGAUUUUUAAGUGAGAUGUGAAAUUCCCGAGCUUAACUUGGGGGCUGCAUUUCAAACUGGAAGUCUAGAGUGCGGGAGAGGAAAGUGGAAUUCCUAGUGUAGCGGUGAAAUGCGUAGAGAUUAGGAAGAACACCAGUGGCGAAGGCGACUUUCUGGACUGUAACUGACGCUGAGGCUCGAAAGCGUGGGGAGCAAAC
This 250-nucleotide ribosomal RNA is filed under the name uncultured bacterium. Its description in RNAcentral is "partial 16S ribosomal RNA". It matches the Rfam family "Bacterial small subunit ribosomal RNA", at positions 524 to 773 of the family's 1533-position model. The record is from RNAcentral.